AGGGAUGUAGCGCCGUUUGGUAGCGCGCUUGUUUUGGGUACAAAAUGUCAUGGGUUCAAAUCAUGUCAUCCCUACCUAUUACUUAUCUUCUGAGCAGUAACGAGGGAUCAAUUGAGAUCAAUUAAUAAAAUGUGUACAUACAUAAUUAAAUAAAUAUUUCAUUUUUAUUUUUUAUAGUAUAUAUAUAUAUAUAUGCAAGAUAAAUUGGGGUUACAAAAUAUUUAUUGUGAUAAUAAAGCGCUCUUAGUUCAGCUUCGGUAGAACGUGGGUCUCCAAAACCCGAUGUCGUAGGUUCAAAUCCUACAGGGCGUG
Molecule: transfer RNA, 312 nt
Filed under: Malus domestica (apple)
Lineage: Eukaryota; Viridiplantae; Streptophyta; Magnoliopsida; Rosales; Rosaceae
Description: sRNA MD11G0240900
Rfam family: tRNA (bases 238-312)
Source: RNAcentral